RNAcentral lists this ribosomal RNA (250 nucleotides) under uncultured bacterium. RNAcentral's name for it is "partial 16S ribosomal RNA". It matches the Rfam family "Bacterial small subunit ribosomal RNA", at positions 355 to 615 of the family's 1533-position model. The record is from RNAcentral.
UCGAGGAUCUUCGUCAAUGGGCGAAAGCCUGAACGAGCGACGCCGCGUGCGGGAUGAAGGCCCUUGGGUUGUAAACCGCUGUCAGGGGGGAUGAAACCGUAAGGUUGACAGAGCCCCAGAGGAAGCACGGGCUAAGUUCGUGCCAGCAGCCGCGGUAAUACGAACUGUGCGAACGUUACUCGGAAUCACUGGGCUUACAGGGUGCGUAGGUGGCUUGUUAAGCAGGGUGUGAAAUCCCUCGGCUCAACCG